Molecule: ribosomal RNA, 254 nt
Filed under: uncultured bacterium
Lineage: Bacteria
Description: partial 16S ribosomal RNA
Rfam family: Bacterial small subunit ribosomal RNA
Source: RNAcentral
UACGAAGGGGGCUAGCGUUGCUCGGAAUCACUGGGCGUAAAGCGCACGUAGGCGGAUUGCUAAGUCAGGGGUGAAAUCCUGGAGCUCAACUCCAGAACUGCCUUUGAUACUGGCGAUCUCGAGUCCGGGAGAGGUGAGUGGAACUGCGAGUGUAGAGGUGAAAUUCGUAGAUAUUCGGAAGAACACCAGUGGCGAAGGCGACUUACUGGACGAUUGUUGACGCUGAGGUGCGAAAAGCGUGGGGAGCAAACAGG